AACGAACGCUGGCGGCAUGCCUAACACAUGCAAGUCGAACGAGACCUUCGGGUCUAGUGGCGCACGGGUGCGUAACGCGUGGGAACCUGCCUUUAGGUUCGGAAUAACUCAGAGAAAUUUGAGCUAAUACCGGAUGAUGUCUUCGGACCAAAGAUUUAUCGCCUUUAGAUGGGCCCGCGUUGGAUUAGCUAGUUGGUGGGGUAAAGGCCUACCAAGGCGACGAUCCAUAGCUGGUCUGAGAGGAUGAUCAGCCACACUGGGACUGAGACAAGGCCGAGACUACUACGGGAGGGAGCAGGGGGGAAGAUUGGAAAAUGGGCGAAAGCCUGAUCCAGCAAGGCCGCGAGAGUGAGGAAGGAGUUAGGGUGGUAAAGCUCUUUUACCCGGGAUGAUAAGGACAGUAUCGGGAGAAUAAGCUCCGGCGAACUCCGG
RNAcentral lists this ribosomal RNA (432 nucleotides) under uncultured bacterium. RNAcentral describes it as "partial 16S ribosomal RNA". It matches the Rfam family "Bacterial small subunit ribosomal RNA", at positions 29 to 506 of the family's 1533-position model. The record is from RNAcentral.